RNAcentral lists this ribosomal RNA (475 nucleotides) under uncultured bacterium. RNAcentral's name for it is "bacterial SSU rRNA". It matches the Rfam family "Bacterial small subunit ribosomal RNA", at positions 30 to 523 of the family's 1533-position model. The record is from RNAcentral.
AUUGAACGCUGGCGGCAUGCCUUACACAUGCAAGUCGAACGGGCUUGGGGGCUUGCUCCCAAGUUAGUGGCGAACGGGUGAGUAAUACAUCGGAACGUACCGUGUAGUGGGGGAUAACGUAGCGAAAGUUACGCUAAUACCGCAUACGAUCUACGGAUGAAAGCAGGGGACCUUCGGGCCUUGUGCUAUACGAGCGGCCGAUGUCUGAUUAGCUAGUUGGUGAGGUAAAGGCUCACCAAGGCGACGAUCAGUAGCGGGUCUGAGAGGAUGAUCCGCCACACUGGGACUGAGACACGGCCCAGACUCCUACGGGAGGCAGCAGUGGGGAAUUUUGGACAACGGGCGAAGGCCUGACGCAGCAACGCCGCGUGCGGGAUGACGGCCUUCGUGGUUGUAAACCGCUUUCAGCAGGGACGAAAAUAGACGGUACCGUGCAGAAGAAGCCCGGCUAACUACGUGCCAGCAGCCGCGGUAA